RNAcentral lists this long non-coding RNA (2038 nucleotides) under Capsicum annuum. RNAcentral describes it as "long non-coding RNA (CANN_LNC007476)". Lineage: Eukaryota; Viridiplantae; Streptophyta; Magnoliopsida; Solanales; Solanaceae. The record is from RNAcentral.
ACUAUGCUUUACCCGAUGCCUCAGGCCUUGAUCACGAACAUCCUUCACAUAUAAAAUACUUCGGGGCAUUCCUCGAUGAGUAAAUACAAGUGACCUCGAGGCAUUCCUUCGCAAAAUGAAUACAUCUUUUCAAUGCGAUAAAACUAAACCAUUCAACAAAAUUUCAAACAUUCAACUAAUCCACAAAUUCUAAACUUUGCCUACCCAACCUACGUUUGCCUACCUCACUCGACUUAUCAUGAUACUAACAAGUUUGAUUAACGUUCAUCUCAAGUCAAACAAUAAUUCAUGAAUCAAACUUACCAAAUGUUACCUUUUUGGCAAGUUUCAAUUCCACCUCCCAAUUUCUUUUUUUUUUAAUUCUUAACGAGAUAUCAUUUCAUUACAUAAUCUAUAAACAGACAAAGAAUCGAAACCAACAACUAUUCAUCAUAAACAAUAAUCAACCAACACAUAAUAUUUCAUUCAAUGAACCGAAUAUCACAAAUAAUGAAAUAAAAAGGGAAAGAGAGUAGAAUUAGACCUCAAUCUGACGUUCUAUUUCAAUUAACUGAUCUUUUCGAAUAGAACCGCGUCCAAAUAGAACCUCAACAUCGAACCACAAUCACGAACCCAAAUCAAAAACUUCGAUCUAGAACUCCAAUUUACUCAGACUUGCUUUCGAGCAAGGCUCCACGAAGAACAAAUGAAAACAAAAUCAAAAUCAAGGCUCCGAACUGGAACAAACCAGAAACCUGUAUGAUUGUUUCCAGAUGAGAAGUAACCAAAGUCGGCCUAAAAAAUGAUCAAUUCAAAUCAGUGCGGACCAUAAUUAAACAUUUUCCGGUGAAAGAAUGCUAUUUUUUGGCCAAGAAGCUGGAAUGGUCAUCCCCAAUCCCUUUUCUCUCCUCUCUCUCCCAAUAUCACUCUCUCGCAGCUCGGUCUUUAUCACUCUAUCUCUCUCUGCCUUCUCGAAUCUCUCUCUCUACCUCUCUCAAUCUAUCUCUUUUUGUUUUUCAGCUCUCACUCGUGGAGAAGAAAACAAAAAAGGACUGGUGGAAAAGAAAAGAAAAUGGCGUGAAUCACUCUUCUUCCCUAUUGAUAGCCCUCGUGAAGAAGAUGAAUUGUGAACUCUCACUCUUCUCCCUCUUCCUCUCGCAUCUCUCUCUCCUACCUCCUCCUCCCUUGCAGCUUUCUGUGUGUAUAUAUUGUUUUUCCUAGUCCCCGAAAGCUGCCAGGAAAUUUCCCUUUUAUUUUUAGUUUUCUUUUUCCUUAUUAUUUCUUUGUGGUCAAGAAAUGUGAGGGAGUGGGGUCACGUGGGUGCGGGGUGUGGUAGUAGGUGAGGUGUAAGUUUUUAAUUGCAGGGGUAGGGGUUAGGUGUCCAUUUUUUAUUGGGUGGGUUGUUGGAAUUAUAAAGAUAGGACAAAAUUAGUUAGGUUUGUUAAAUGGGAUAAAAAAAAAAGAGUGAAAAGAUGAGGUGAUUAUUUAUUUUCUUGAGGAAAAAUUACUACGCGUAUAGGGUACGUAGUAAAUGGGGUAAACGCUAAAAUUUGUGAAGGAAUGAAAUUACGUGUCUACAAGAGCAAUUUAAAACAGCUCAUAAACAUAUCAUAUGGUAAGUGUUUUGACGAAAUUUUAAAUUUAAGAGAAGAGUCUCCACUUAAUUUUGAAAAGAAAUUAAAAAACCUUUAUAAAUACUUUAAACGAUCCAAAACAGGAAAAUCAUUUAAGAAAGAGAUUCUAAGUAAGUGAUUCCUAUUAACGUUUUAGGAAGGUGUUAGGCACCUAAAACGUCCGCUAACUUGCGGUUAUCCGAAAUGUUUGAAAAUCGUCUUUUGAUUAUCUUCGAAAAGAUUAAUUUUGUCAAAAAUUAAUAGAUUUUUUGGAAAGAAAGCGAUUUUGAAAAUAUUUUGGUGUUUAUGCAAAACUAGUUUCUUAGCGACUUAACUAAGGAUUUAACUAGGUUCGCAAAGUACAUAAGAAAAACAAACAUAAAGAACAGGGGGAGGGGAGGAAGUAAGGGAUUUAGGCCAUUGGCCCAAAUCAACAAAACCUAUCC